UACGGAGGGUGCGAGCGUUAAUCGGAAUUACUGGGCGUAAAGCGUGCGCAGGCGGCGCGUUGAGACAGUUGUGAAAGCCCCGAGCUUAACUUGGGAAUUGCGCUUGUGACUGGCGUGCUGGAGUGUGGCAGAGGGAGGUGGAAUUCCACGUGUAGCAGUGAAAUGCGUAGAGAUGUGGAGGAACACCGAUGGCGAAGGCAGCCUCCUGGGCCAGCACUGACGCUCAUGCACGAAAGCGUGGGGAGCAAACAGG
This 253-nucleotide ribosomal RNA is filed under the name uncultured bacterium. RNAcentral's name for it is "partial 16S ribosomal RNA". It matches the Rfam family "Bacterial small subunit ribosomal RNA", at positions 524 to 776 of the family's 1533-position model. The record is from RNAcentral.